Salmo salar (Atlantic salmon) is the source of this 94-nucleotide non-coding RNA. Lineage: Eukaryota; Metazoa; Chordata; Actinopteri; Salmoniformes; Salmonidae. The record is from Rfam.
GGCCCUGUGGCUCAGUUGGUAGAGCAUGGUAUUUGCAACGCCAGCAUGGUGUGUGCAAAGCCAGGGUUGUGGGUUCGAUUCCCACGGGGGGCCA